GCUUGGGUACGCCAACUGGCAGAGCGACCGGCCUUAAAAGCCGGCGGUUGCGGGUUCGAAUCCCACCCCAAGCA
Molecule: transfer RNA, 74 nt
Filed under: Mycobacterium minnesotense
Lineage: Bacteria; Bacillati; Actinomycetota; Actinomycetes; Mycobacteriales; Mycobacteriaceae
Description: Mycolicibacter minnesotensis tRNA-Leu
Rfam family: tRNA
About the family: Transfer RNA (tRNA) molecules are approximately 80 nucleotides in length.
Source: RNAcentral